UUUUUUUUUACUUUCAACUUCAGAAACAGAACCGCAUAUAUAUAUAUAUACAGAAAAAAUGUAACUCCUUCAUUAGAUUAACAAAUUGGCUGCCUUUCUAAAAGUCUCAGAUAUAUUUGAUCGUUGAACACAUUUUAACAAAAGAUUUAGCUAGAAGUACAGGAUAAGAGACUUUUGCAAACCCUGUAAAGAUUUGACUUAUGCUAUGCCGAGUUUAUGCUAUCGUAAAACAAAUAACCUGUCUCAUAUCAAGUAUGGCCGCCAUCUCAAGGCAAAAUUGACCAUUGAAUAAUGAAAAUGAGAAUCAACAUAAACAGCAUCAAUGUUAAGACCACAUAAUUUAAUCAGGAGUAUCACUGAUAUUGAUAUGUUGACCAUUUUUCAAACAUAUGGUUGUUUUUAUGGUUUUUGGAAUCAAAGAUGACUGGUUAUAGUUUUUGG
Molecule: long non-coding RNA, 441 nt
Filed under: Mytilus galloprovincialis (Mediterranean mussel)
Lineage: Eukaryota; Metazoa; Mollusca; Bivalvia; Mytilida; Mytilidae
Source: RNAcentral